RNAcentral lists this ribosomal RNA (253 nucleotides) under uncultured bacterium. RNAcentral's name for it is "partial 16S ribosomal RNA". It matches the Rfam family "Bacterial small subunit ribosomal RNA", at positions 524 to 776 of the family's 1533-position model. The record is from RNAcentral.
UACGGAGGGUGCAAGCGUUGUUCGGAAUUACUGGGCGUAAAGCGCGCGUAGGCGGCUUUGUAAGUUGGGAGUGAAAUCCCGGGGCUUAACUCCGGAAUUGCUUUCAAAACUACAAAGCUAGAGUAUGGUAGGGGACAGUGGAAUUCCUAGUGUAGAGGUGAAAUUCGUAGAUAUUAGGAGGAACACCGGUGGCGAAAGCGACUGUCUGGACCAUUACUGACGCUGAGGCGCGAAAGCGUGGGGAGCAAACAGG